UACUCUUCUGCCUUGGUGGUGUUGAGGGCAUGCAUAGUUGUAUAGUAUCUUUGAUUUCAAGAAAAUGCAAAAAUUGUGUGCAAAAGAAAGUAAAUUUACCUCUUUUGGGGGAAACUUCUAUUGUCUCGCUUGUUGUAUUAUGUUGCUGUCUGGCAUUUGCUAUUUUCUGGAUCGUGAAUCGGCGGACAUCAUAUUCGUGGAUUGGGCAAGAUAUUCUUGGUAUCUGCUUGAUGAUAACUGUCUUGCAGGUGGCUAGACUGCCAAAUAUUAAGGUUGCUGCUGUACUUCUGUGUUGCGCAUUCGUUUAUGACAUCUUUUGGGUCUUUCUAUCCCCAAUAAUUUUCCAUCAAAGUGUUAUGAUUGCUGUGGCUCCAGGGGACAACAGUGGGGGGGGAUCUAUUUGGAUCUAUUCCGAUGCUUUUGAGAAUUCCUCGAUUUUCUGAUCCUUGGGGUGGUUAUGACAUGAUUGGAUUUGGGGACAUUCUUUUUCCUGGUUUGCUUGUAUCAUUUUCUAGGAGAUAUGAUAGAACAAAUCGGAGAUAUGAUAGAGCAAAUAAGAAGAGCGGGUCCAGCGGAUAUUUUCCUUGGUUGACAAUUGGCUA
Molecule: unclassified non-coding RNA, 602 nt
Filed under: Hevea brasiliensis (rubber tree)
Lineage: Eukaryota; Viridiplantae; Streptophyta; Magnoliopsida; Malpighiales; Euphorbiaceae
Source: RNAcentral